GGCGAACGGGUGAGUAAUACAUCGGAACGUGCCCAGUUAGUGGGGGAUAGCCCGGCGAAAGCCGGAUUAAUACCGCAUACGACCUACGGGUGAAAGCGGGGGACCGCAAGGCCUCGCGCUAUCGGAGCGGCCGAUGUCAGAUUAGGUAGUUGGUGAGGUAAAGGCUCACCAAGCCUGCGAUCUGUAGCUGGUCUGAGAGGACGACCAGCCACACUGGGACUGAGACACGGCCCAGACUCCUACGGGAGGCAGCAGUGGGGAAUUUUGGACAAUGGGCGCAAGCCUGAUCCAGCCAUGCCGCGUGCGGGAAGAAGGCCUUCGGGUUGUAAACCGCUUUUGUCAGGGAAGAAACGCCUCGGGCUAAUACCUCGAGGUAAUGACGGUACCUGAAGAAUAAGCACCGGCUAACUACGUGCCAGCAGCCGCGGUAAUACGUAGGGUGCGAGCGUUAAUCGGA
RNAcentral lists this ribosomal RNA (457 nucleotides) under uncultured Rubrivivax sp. RNAcentral's name for it is "bacterial SSU rRNA". It matches the Rfam family "Bacterial small subunit ribosomal RNA", at positions 97 to 549 of the family's 1533-position model. Lineage: Bacteria; Pseudomonadati; Pseudomonadota; Betaproteobacteria; Burkholderiales; Sphaerotilaceae. The record is from RNAcentral.